RNAcentral lists this ribosomal RNA (492 nucleotides) under uncultured bacterium. RNAcentral's name for it is "partial 16S ribosomal RNA". It matches the Rfam family "Bacterial small subunit ribosomal RNA", at positions 28 to 507 of the family's 1533-position model. The record is from RNAcentral.
GAUGAACGCUAGCUAUAGGCUUAACACAUGCAAGUCGAGGGGAAACGGCAUUAUGUGCUUGCACAUUUUGGACGUCGACCGGCGCACGGGUGAGUAUCGCGUAUCCAACCUGCCCUUUACUUGGGGAUACCCCGUUGAAAGACGGCCUAAUACCCGAUGUAAUUCAUUGAUGGCAUCAGAUAUGAAUAAAAGAUUUAUCGGUAAAGGAUGGGGAUGCGUCUGAUUAGCUUGUUGGUGAGGUAACGGCUCACCAAGGCGACGAUCAGUAGGGGUUCUGAGAGGAAGGUCCCCCACAUUGGAACUGAGACACGGUCCAAACUCCUACGGGAGGCAGCAGUGAGGAAUAUUGGUAAAUGGGCGCAAGCCUGAACCAGCCAAGUAGCGUGCAGGAAGACGGCCCUAUGGGUUGUAAACUGCUUUUAUACGAGAAUAAUUUGAUGCACGUGUGCGUUAUUGCAUGUAUCGUAUGAAUAAGGACCGGCUAAUUCCGUG